UCCGCGCCGUAGCUAACGCAUUAAGUGCCCCGCCUGGGGAGUACGGCCGCAAGGCUAAAACUCAAAGGAAUUGACGGGGGCCCGCACAAGCGGCGGAGCAUGCGGAUUAAUUCGAUGCAACGCGAAGAACCUUACCAAGGCUUGACAUGCAUUAGAUCGCGUCAGAGGUGGCGUUUCCCUUCGGGGCUGGUGUACAGGUGGUGCAUGGUUGUCGUCAGCUCGUGUCGUGAGAUGUUGGGUUAAGUCCCGCAACGAGCGCAACCCUCGUUCUAUGUUGCCAGCGGUUCGGCCGGGGACUCAUAGGAGACUGCCGGGGUCAACUCGGAGGAAGGUGGGGAUGACGUCAAAUCAUCAUGCCCCUUAUGUCUUGGGCUUCACGCAUGCUACAAUGGCCGGUACAGAGGGUUGCGAUACUGUGAGGUGGAGCUAAUCCCUUAAAGCCGGUCUCAGUUCGGAUUGGGGUCUGCAACUCGACCCCAUGAAGUCGGAGUCGCUAGUAAUCGCAGAUCAGCAACGCUGCGGUGAAUACGUUCCCGGGCCUUGUACACACCGCCCGUCAAGUCACGAAAGUUGGUAACACCCGA
Molecule: ribosomal RNA, 584 nt
Filed under: uncultured bacterium
Lineage: Bacteria
Description: bacterial SSU rRNA
Rfam family: Bacterial small subunit ribosomal RNA
Source: RNAcentral